CGUUUCUUCCUUUCUCACCCAAGUUCCACUAAGACACGAACGGGAGCUAAUUUGCGGUGUCUUGCCCAUCCCAGAUCUCAGUUGGAGUUAUCUUCUUUGUUUUGCUAACUUAAACUGGAGGCCUGAACUUCCAAGGCAUGUGAGACGUUUGCCUGGGGAGCACGCAAAGGUUUAAUUGCAUCUCCGCAAUGCGUUCUGGCACCGCAGCCUGAAGCCAAUGCUUGUUUUUAACCGGCAACCUGCCUCCCAUGAACACGGCGAGCAGAGCGCCUCUCCGCUGAACAGCCAGACGAGGUAUUGAUGUCACAACAGUGGACACGCAGCGGGGAGCUGGGCUGUCAGCCUGUCACACACUGACAAAUCUGCUGUUCACAUUCAGGCGUGAGGCGCUGCUCAGUGGCCCUCAGUAGCAUCUCUACCAGGAGGGUGUGCAGGCUCCUGGGCCCCGCUGCGUGGACCAGACACUGUUAUUACAUCUUUCUCAAGGAGCCCGACUGAAUCACUCAUUUCAUGACAGGGACCUGCAAGGGAGACAACCCGGGCACGGACAGGCAAGCUGCUCUGCAGCAGUGGUCUUCGGCUUCGGCUCAGGCUUUAUCUCCGUCGGCCAUCCGUUUCUCUCCACAUCGCCCUUCUGCACGUGUACAGGGACAGCGAGACUCCAGGAUCCCAACUACGGAAUUCAGAGCAGACAGAGG
Molecule: long non-coding RNA, 698 nt
Filed under: Fukomys damarensis (Damara mole-rat)
Lineage: Eukaryota; Metazoa; Chordata; Mammalia; Rodentia; Bathyergidae
Description: lncRNA (ENSFDAG00000033337.1)
Source: RNAcentral